Molecule: ribosomal RNA, 497 nt
Filed under: uncultured bacterium
Lineage: Bacteria
Description: partial 16S ribosomal RNA
Rfam family: Bacterial small subunit ribosomal RNA
Source: RNAcentral
GAUGAACGCUGGCGGCGUGCCUAAUACAUGCAAGUCGAGCGAACGGACGAGAAGCUUGCUUCUCUGAUGUUAGCGGCGGACGGGUGAGUAACACGUGGAUAACCUACCUAUAAGACUGGGAUUACUUCGGGAAACCGGGGCUAAUACCGGAUAAUAUUUUGAACCGCAUGGUUCAAAAGUGAAAGACGGUCUUGCUGUCACUUAUAGAUGGAUCCGCGCUGCAUUAGCUAGUUGGUAAGGUAACGGCUUACCAAGGCAACGAUGCAUAGCCGACCUGAGAGGGUGAUCGGCCACACUGGAACUGAGACACGGUCCAGACUCCUACGGGAGGCAGCAGUAGGGAAUCUUCCGCAAUGGGCGAAAGCCUGACGGAGCAACGCCGCGUGAGUGAUGAAGGUCUUCGGAUCGUAAAACUCUGUUAUUAGGGAAGAACAUAUGUGUAAGUAACUGUGCACAUCUUGACGGUACCUAAUCAGAAAGCCACGGCUAACUACGUG